Long non-coding RNA from Sinocyclocheilus grahami, 311 nucleotides. RefSeq lists it as uncharacterized. The transcript has 3 exons. Lineage: Eukaryota; Metazoa; Chordata; Actinopteri; Cypriniformes; Cyprinidae. The record is from RefSeq and is a predicted model, not a curated record.
UUUGACAGAAGUAUUGGCAAAGAUGAGCACCUGGCUGCGGCAUUUUUUCAGAGAGGAGUUACAUUCUACAAAAAGGAAAGGUUUGAAGAGUCUCUUCUGGAUUUCCAGCAGGCGUUCAAGCAGUUACGAGGAAAUCAACUAAUAGAUUACAAACCUCUAGGGCUGAGAUAUAAACUGUAUGCUUGUGAGGUGCUGCACAACAUAGGACUAGUACAGGCUCAGUUGGGAAAAUGGGAGAAAGCUCAAGAGAACCUUCUUACUGCACUAAGCUUGAAGGCAGACGCCAAGUUCAGCCACAUUGACCAUGCUCU